This 449-nucleotide ribosomal RNA is filed under the name uncultured bacterium. RNAcentral describes it as "partial 16S ribosomal RNA". It matches the Rfam family "Bacterial small subunit ribosomal RNA", at positions 29 to 523 of the family's 1533-position model. The record is from RNAcentral.
AACGAACGCUGGCGGCAGGCCUAACACAUGCAAGUCGAACGGGACCUUCGGGUCUAGUGGCGGACGGGUGAGUAACGCGUGGGAACGUGCCCUUUGGUUCGGAAUAGUCCCGGGAAACUGGGAGUAAUACCGGAUAAGCCCUACGGGGGACAGAUUUAUCGCCAAAGGAUCGGCCCGCGUUGGAUUAGGUAGUUGGUGGGGUAAUGGCCUACCAAGCCGACGAUCCAUAGCUGGUUUGAGAGGAUGAUCAGCCACACUGGGACUGAGACACGGCCCAGACUCCUACGGGAGGCAGCAGUGGGGAAUCUUAGACAAUGGGGGAAACCCUGAUCUAGCCAUGCCGCGUGAUCGAUGAAGGCCUUAGGGUUGUAAAGAUCUUUCAGUGGGGAAGAUAAUGACUGUACCCACAGAAGAAGCCCCGGCUAACUCCGUGCCAGCAGCCGCGGUAA